CGCGGAUGACGCGGCGCCAGUCAGGCCGCAGCCCCGCUGCUUGGCCCGUCGGUCCCGCCUCGGCCGGCUCGGCCCGCCCCCGGCCCUCCCCGCGCGCCCUCCCGUGCGCCCCUGUCAGACCGUGGCGGCCUGUCGCGCGGUGCGCUCUCCCUCCCCGCCCGCAGCCUGGAGAGGCGCUUCGUGCUGCACACCCCCGCGUUCCUGCCGGCACCGCGCCUGCCCUCUGCCGCGCUCCGCCCUGCCGCCGACCGCACGCCCGCCGCGGGACAUGGCACACGCACCGGCAAGCUGCCCCAGCGCCCGGGGCUCCGGGGACGGCGAGAUGGGCAAGCCCAGGAACGUGGCGCUCAUCACCGGUAUCACAGGCCAGGAUGGUUCCUACCUGGCUGAGUUCCUGCUGGAGAAAGGCUAUGAGGUCCAUGGAAUUGUACGGCGGUCCAGUUCAUUUAAUACGGGUCGAAUCGAGCAUCUGUAUAAGAAUCCCCAGGCUCACAUUGAAGGAAACAUGAAGUUGCACUAUGGCGAUCUCACUGACAGUACCUGCCUUGUGAAGAUCAUUAAUGAAGUAAAGCCCACGGAGAUCUACAACCUCGGAGCCCAGAGCCACGUCAAAAUUUCCUUUGACCUCGCUGAGUACACUGCGGACGUUGAUGGAGUUGGCACUCUACGACUUCUAGAUGCGGUUAAGACUUGUGGCCUUAUCAACUCUGUGAAGUUCUACCAAGCCUCAACAAGUGAACUUUAUGGGAAAGUGCAGGAAAUACCCCAGAAGGAGACCACCCCUUUCUAUCCCCGGUCACCCUAUGGGGCAGCAAAACUCUAUGCCUAUUGGAUUGUGGUGAACUUCCGUGAGGCAUAUAAUCUCUUUGCAGUGAAUGGCAUUCUCUUCAAUCAUGAGAGUCCCAGAAGAGGAGCUAAUUUCGUUACUCGAAAAAUUAGCCGGUCAGUAGCUAAGAUUUACCUGGGACAACUGGAAUGUUUCAGUUUGGGAAAUCUGGAUGCCAAACGAGAUUGGGGCCAUGCCAAGGACUAUGUGGAGGCUAUGUGGUUGAUGUUGCAGAAUGAUGAGCCAGAGGACUUCGUUAUAGCUACUGGGGAGGUCCACAGUGUCCGGGAAUUUGUCGAGAAGUCAUUCUUGCACAUUGGAAAAACCAUUGUGUGGGAAGGAAAGAAUGAAAAUGAAGUGGGCAGAUGUAAAGAGACCGGCAAAGUUCACGUGACCGUGGAUCUCAAGUACUACCGGCCAACUGAAGUGUCUUCACAGAGCUGUAACAAAGACAUUGGUGAGUAGGGGCUGAGAGCGGGAUUAAGUUCUUCUCCGCUGGUUUCUUUUAGCCAGCCUUCCUUCCAAGGAAGCCUCUUAAGUCGAUGGAAAUGAAAUGCCCUUGUUUCCUCGAGUGGAGCAGUUGGGGAAAGCGGAAGGAGGGAGGCACUCCCAGAGGGGACGGUGGCGCUCAGUGCGGGGUCCUGCAGAGCUGCUGGCUGCAGCUCCGUGCUGGAUCGCAGAAGGACAAGUGGGUCGAGAUUAGCAUUUUCUUAGGAACAGAAUCGAACGAGUAGAAUAGGGGUAGAAUAGAAUAGACCGUCUACAGAGUUCCUGGACGCUAAGGCUAAGUAUUGCUUCGUGAAACUCCAGUUUCGUUUUAUGAACGCGUGUGUGUGCGGGAGGCGAUGUGAACUGACUUUACUGUGGGUACGAAAAGCCCAAAGCCACCGCCCAGGAAGAACCGCGCUUGGCUGCGGCCCGGACUUUCUGCAGGGCGACUGCACCAAAGCGAAACAGAAGCUGAACUGGAAGCCCCGGGUCGCUUUCGAUGAGCUGGUGAGGGAGAUGGUGCAC
Nomascus leucogenys (northern white-cheeked gibbon) is the source of this 1840-nucleotide RNA transcript. It is a transcript of the gene named GDP-mannose 4,6-dehydratase, with no coding region annotated. The transcript has 12 exons. NCBI's taxonomy places the organism in Eukaryota, Metazoa, Chordata, Mammalia, Primates, Hylobatidae. The record is from RefSeq and is a predicted model, not a curated record.